GGGUGUGAAUGAUCUUGGAGACUGCGGCGCCGUUGCUGCCCCCUGCUGUUAGCACCUGGAGCUGCAGCUGGUAAAUACUCUCAGCUUGAAGAUCAGGAAUAGUGACCGAUCGCUCAGACUGUGGAUCAACACACAGGGGAAAAGUCUUGCCUCCUUUGACCCUGAUGGAGGAGCACGUGGGGGUCGUUACCCAGGAAACAGCUUCUGAUCCUGGGUCAGCCUUCAACGCCACGGCGAUCCGGUACUUACAGGCGAACUGGAGGCCUGUGAUGGUGUGAUGGGUGCCCUGGAGAGAAAGAAAGCCAGUGGGAGUGGAGUUAGGGAUGAAAAUUGUUUAAAGACACAUUACAGUGUAGAAGUCUGCUUUGUUCCUGAAGAAGUGAAGAAGCUACGUUUGAUCUCAGCAACAGCGUGACAGCAGUAAUGUUCACCUGGUUUAAUGACUUCAUAUCCUGUCGCUUUUCGUUCCUGUGUUUUCCAUCAUACUGCGUUGGCAGCAGCUCCAGGCCCGACCGAAUAAAAUCAAUAUGUCAGCCACAUAACUGGAUCACGGCACAGAUCCUCAUUCUGAACGCUGCAGUGAGUGGCAUGUUGCUAGUCCGUUCCCAAAGGCUUAAACCUGACUUAAACACGUUGUCCAAACGCAGCAAAAGCACUUCUCUGUUGUCACUCUGCAUCGCUGAGCUGUCAGUGCCGUGAAGUCAAACCUCUAACUGAGUCACAUCCCAUGAAGAUAAUGGUGUGUUUGUCUGAGGACAUUAUUAAAUCUUCAGAUUCAUGAGGACCAUAUGCUCGAAAUGUC
Betta splendens (Siamese fighting fish) is the source of this 802-nucleotide long non-coding RNA. RefSeq lists it as uncharacterized. The record is from RefSeq and is a predicted model, not a curated record. Lineage: Eukaryota; Metazoa; Chordata; Actinopteri; Anabantiformes; Osphronemidae. The transcript has 3 exons.